GUUGUAUAGUCAAGUAAUUAAGUGCAUGUGGUGGAUGCCUUGGCAGUCAGAGGCGAUGAAAGACGUGAUAGCCUGCGAAAAGCUCCGGGGAGGCGGCAAAUAUCCUUUGAUCCGGAGAUGUCUGAAUGGGGGAACCCACCUACUUUAAGGUAGGUAUUGCAACAUGAAUACAUAGUGUUGCAAGGCGAACGAGGGGAAGUGAAACAUCUCAGUACCCUUAGGAAAAGAAAUCAAUUGAGAUUCCCUCAGUAGCGGCGAGCGAACGGGGAUCAGCCCAUUAAGUUAUGUGUGUUUUAGUGGAACGCUCUGGGAAGUGCGAACGUAGAGGGUGAUAUUCCCGUACACGAAAGGGCACACAUAAUGAUGACGAGUAGGGCGAGGCACGUGAAACCUUGUCUGAAUAUGGGGGGACCAUCCUCCAAGGCUAAAUACUCCUGACUGACCGAUAGUGAACCAGUACCGUGAGGGAAAGGCGAAAAGAACCCCUGUGAGGGGAGUGAAAUAGAUCCUGAAACCGCAUGCAUACAAGCAGUGGGAGCACCUUCGUGGUGUGACUGCGUACCUUUUGUAUAAUGGGUCAGCGACUUAUAUUCAGUAGCGAGGUUAACCGUAUAGGGGAGCCGUAGAGAAAUCGAGUCUUAAUAGGGCGUUUAGUUGCUGGGUAUAGACCCGAAACCAGGCGAUCUAUCCAUGAGCAGGUUGAAGGUUGGGUAACACUAACUGGAGGACCGAACCCACUGUCGUUGAAAAGCCAGGGGAUGACUUGUGGAUAGGGGUGAAAGGCUAAUCAAGCCUGGUGAUAGCUGGUUCUCCCCGAAAGCUAUUUAGGUAGCGCCUCGGACGAAUACCAUAGGGGGUAGAGCACUGUUUCGGCUAGGGGGNNNNCCNNNNUNNCNAANCNNNNNNAANNNCNNANNNCNNNNNNNNCUAUCCGGGAGACAGACUGCGGGUGCUAACGUCCGUAGUCAAGAGGAAAACAAUCCAGACCGCCAGCUAAGGCCCCAAAAUCAUAGUUAAGUGGGAAACGAUGUGGGAAGGCAUAGACAGCUAGGAGGUUGGCUUAGAAGCAGCCACCCUUUAAAGAAAGCGUAAUAGCUCACUAGUCGAGUCGGCCUGCGCGGAAGAUGUAACGGGGCUAAAACUAUGUGCCGAAGCUGCGGAUGUAUACUUUGUAUACGUGGUAGGGGAGCGUUCUGUAAGCCGAUGAAGGUGUGUUGAGAAGCAUGCUGGAGGUAUCAGAAGUGCGAAUGCUGACGUGAGUAACGACAAAACGGGUGAAAAACCCGUUCGCCGAAAGACCAAGGGUUCCAGUCCAACGUUAAUCGGGGCUGGGUGAGUCGACCCCUAAGGCGAGGCCGAAAGGCGUAGUCGAUGGGAAAAUGGUUAAUAUUCCAUUACUUCUGUGUAAUGCGAUGAGAGGACGGAGAAGGCUAAAUCAGCCUGGCGUUGGUUGUCCAGGUGAAAGGAUGUAGGCAUGUAUCUUAGGCAAAUCCGGGGUACUCUAUGCUGAGAUCUGAUAGCAAGCUGUACUUGUACAGCGAAGUGGUUGAUGCCAUGCUUCCAGGAAAAGUCUCUAAGCUUCAGUUACACAGGAAUCGUACCCGAAACCGACACAGGUGGUCAGGUCGAGUAGACCAAGGCGCUUGAGAGAACUCUGCUGAAGGAACUAGGCAAAAUGGUACCGUAACUUCGGGAGAAGGUACGCUGUUGUUGGUGAUGGAACUCGCUUCCUGAGCUGACGACAGCCGCAGAAACCAGGCCGCUGCAACUGUUUAUUAAAAACAUAGCACUCUGCAAACACGAAAGUGGACGUAUAGGGUGUGAUGCCUGCCCGGUGCUGGAAGGUUAAUUGAUGGGGUUAGCGUAAGCGAAGCUCUUGAUCGAAGCCCCAGUAAACGGCGGCCGUAACUAUAACGGUCCUAAGGUAGCGAAAUUCCUUGUCGGGUAAGUUCCGACCUGCACGAAUGGCAUAAUGAUGGCGGCGCUGUCUCCAGCAGAGGCUCAGUGAAAUCGAAAUCGCUGUGAAGAUGCAGUGUACCCGCGGCUAGACGGAAAGACCCCGUGAACCUUUACUGCAGCUUGACACUGAACUUUGACCUUACUUGUGUAGGAUAGGUGGGAGGCUUUGAAGCUGGAACGCUAGUUCCAGUGGAGCCGUCCUUGAAAUACCACCCUGGUAAUGUUGAGGUUCUAACUCUGUCCCGUGAUCCGGGACGAGGACCGUGUCUGGUGGGUAGUUUGACUGGGGCGGUCUCCUCCUAAAGAGUAACGGAGGAGUACGAAGGUGCGCUCAGCGUGGUCGGAAAUCACGCGUAGAGUAUAAAGGCAAAAGCGCGCUUAACUGCGAGACCCACAAGUCGAGCAGGUACGAAAGUAGGUCUUAGUGAUCCGGUGGUUCUGUAUGGAAGGGCCAUCGCUCAACGGAUAAAAGGUACUCUGGGGAUAACAGGCUGAUACCGCCCAAGAGUUCAUAUCGACGGCGGUGUUUGGCACCUCGAUGUCGGCUCAUCUCAUCCUGGGGCUGAAGCAGGUCCCAAGGGUAUGGCUGUUCGCCAUUUAAAGAGGUACGCGAGCUGGGUUUAGAACGUCGUGAGACAGUUCGGUCCCUAUCUACCGUGGGCGCUGGAAAUUUGAGAGGAUCUGCUCCUAGUACGAGAGGACCAGAGUGGACGAACCUCUGGUGUACCGGUUGUGACGCCAGUCGCAUCGCCGGGUAGCUAUGUUCGGAAGGGAUAACCGCUGAAAGCAUCUAAGCGGGAAGCCUACCUCAAGAUAAGAUUUCCCUAGGACUUUAUGUCCUCUAAAGAGCCGUUCGAGACUAGGACGUUGAUAGGUUGGAUGUGGAAGCAUAGUGAUAUGUGAAGCUGACCAAUACUAAUUGCUCGUGAGGCUUGACUAUACAACACCCAAGCAGUUG
This 2917-nucleotide ribosomal RNA is filed under the name Acinetobacter baumannii. Its description in RNAcentral is "bacterial LSU rRNA". It matches the Rfam family "Bacterial large subunit ribosomal RNA". The record is from RNAcentral. Lineage: Bacteria; Pseudomonadati; Pseudomonadota; Gammaproteobacteria; Moraxellales; Moraxellaceae.